AAGAUGAAAUAUUUUUUCUUCUAUUUGUUGUAAAUGAAAAAAUAUAUUUUUUUUUUAUAGACCUGCAAAUUUUUUAAUUGUACUAUUAUGAUGAAGCGACUGAACUUAGCUGCACAGCCCCCUAGCCAAAGCGCCUAUUUAUCUUGUCCCUUCUCCUCCCCUCUGUCCUCGUGCACUCCCUUCCCUCUGCUCUGCUCUGCUCUCUGUCCCUGUGUGCGCACGUUAGCCCCGCCGCCGCCGGAGAAGUGCGCACAUUAGCCCGGCAGGGACGAGACUGAGCGGCCCCCCCGCUUCUUCCGCAAAGCCGCCGCCN
RNAcentral lists this long non-coding RNA (313 nucleotides) under Eucalyptus grandis. Its description in RNAcentral is "long non-coding RNA (EGRA_LNC004200)". The record is from RNAcentral. Lineage: Eukaryota; Viridiplantae; Streptophyta; Magnoliopsida; Myrtales; Myrtaceae.